CUAAUGCUAAUUUCCUGCGUCAUGCAGAUACCAGUAGGAGUAUUCAUGGUUACGAAACACAUGGUUUCUCUUAAAAAUGAUGCCUUGGUGGUUUGUUUCUGUGCUUUGACGAUUUUAUUCAAAUUGUGAUUUGUUUACUUGUCAUAGUCGAUGCUGCGAGGGAGAGGAGGUUGUUACAAACACACAUUCUAUGGAAUUGAGAGCCAUCGCUGCAUGGAAACCACCCCGAGCUUGGCGUGUGCUAAUAAAUGUGUCUUCUGUUGGCGGCACCACACCAACCCCGUGGGCACUGAAUGGCGGUGGAAGAUGGACCAGCCUGAAAUGAUCUUGAAGGAAGCCAUCGAAAACCAUCAGAACAUGAUUAAGCAGUUUAAAGGAGUACCGGGCGUCAAAGCAGAACGCUUUGAAGAAGGAAUGACAGUAAAGCACUGUGCAUUGUCCCUCGUGGGAGAACCAAUAAUGUACCCAGAGAUCAACAGGUUUUUGAAGCUACUCCACCAGUGUAAAAUCUCCAGCUUCCUGGUCACAAAUGCACAAUUUCCUGCGGAAAUCAGGAACCUCGAGCCAGUUACUCAGCUGUAUGUCAGUGUGGAUGCCAGUACCAAAGACAGCCUGAAGAAAAUCGACCGCCCACUCUUCAAGGAUUUCUGGCGGAGAUUCCUUGACAGUUUAAAAGCCUUGGCAGUCAAGCAACAACGAACUGUCUACAGACUGACGCUCGUGAAAGCAUGGAACGUGGACGAGCUCCAGGCCUACGCGCAGCUCGUGUCCCUGGGGAAUCCUGACUUCAUCGAAGUGAAGGGUGUUACCUACUGCGGAGAAAGUUCAGCAAGCAGUCUUACCAUGGCCCACGUGCCUUGGCAUGAGGAAGUGGUACAGUUUGUCUGCGAGUUGGUGGAUCUGAUUCCCGACUAUGAAAUUGCAUGUGAACACGAACACUCUAAUUGCCUCCUGAUAGCACACAAAAAGUUUAAAAUUGGUGGUGAAUGGUGGACGUGGAUCGAUUAUAACCGCUUCCAGGAGCUCAUCCAGGAAUAUGAAGAUAGUAGUGGAUCAAAAACUUUCAGCGCAAAGGAUUAUAUGGCCAGAACUCCUCACUGGGCAUUAUUUGGUGCCAAUGAAAGAGGCUUUGAUCCCAAGGACACAAGACAUCAGAGAAAGAACAAAUCAAAGGCUAUUUCUGGAUGUUGAGGUUAUCUGAUUUCAAGGUACUGAAGGGCAAAAACUUGGAUGGCCUCAAAAGGUUCUUGAACACCACUGUGAUUCUCCAAGGACGAAUUACGUAAAUUAUACUUUCAUACA
Molecule: small RNA, 1302 nt
Filed under: Pongo abelii (Sumatran orangutan)
Lineage: Eukaryota; Metazoa; Chordata; Mammalia; Primates; Hominidae
Description: retained intron
Source: RNAcentral